UGAGGCUUCAUCUCAAAAAAUAAAAACAAUCGCCUUCCCAGGGACUGUGGGAUUACAGGCUUCUCAAACCUCUGCUUGGAUAGAGUAAGUCUACAGAAAAUUAGCUCUUACUACUUCAACGGUUUUAAAACAGAGAAUGUUAGAUACCCACUUAUUUUCUUCCUACCUUUUAUCUCCCAUGUUCCAAUUGAUAACUAAUAUCAAACAAGCAAACAAAACAAAUCAGAAACCCCCUGGUAGCCAGUGUUUGGCAUUUGUGAUUAAUCUACAGGAUAUCAGUACUAAAAUAGGAUAUUAUGUCUGAGGACAUUUUCAUGCUAGGUCCUACUGCAACUCGAAUGAUACUUAGACUCCACAAGACCAACUUCCUAUUUCUACAUCAGCGAAGGUUCGGAGUGGAGCUUUUCAUUCAACAAAGACCUCGGGAAGCACAGAGUUCGGUGACGAAUUCUCACAUGCAGGUACCUCUUCAGUAGAAAAAUUCACUAAGGUUUCUGACACUUUCUACCUAUGGGCCAGUUACACACAGAAGAGAAAACUGGAACUGAAAACUGAUUUGUCAUUUUUACAAAAAGUCACUGCAAAGAAGGCGAAUUCCAAGUA
Macaca mulatta (Rhesus monkey) is the source of this 603-nucleotide non-coding RNA. The record is from RefSeq and is a predicted model, not a curated record. NCBI's taxonomy places the organism in Eukaryota, Metazoa, Chordata, Mammalia, Primates, Cercopithecidae.